GUAAUGCGUAGGAAGCUACCCGAUAGAGGGGGAUACCAGUUGGAAACGACUGUUAAUACCGCAUAAUGUCUACGGACCAAAGUGUGGGACCUUCGGGCCACAUGCUAUCGGAUGCGCCUACGUGGGAUUAGCUAGUUGGUGAGGUAAUGGCUCACCAAGGCGACGAUCUCUAGCUGGUUUGAGAGGAUGAUCAGCCACACUGGAACUGAGACACGGUCCAGACUCCUACGGGAGGCAGCAGUGGGGAAUAUUGGACAAUGGGCGCAAGCCUGAUCCAGCCAUGCCGCGUGUGUGAAGAAGGCCUUCGGGUUGUAAAGCACUUUCAGCGAGGAGGAAGGGGUGAGUGUUAAUAGUACUCACCUUUGACGUUACUCGCAGAAGAAGCACCGGCUAACUCUGUGCCAGCAGCCGCGGUAAUACAGAGGGUGCAAGCGUUAAUCGGAAUUACUGGGCGUAAAGCGCACGCAGGCGGUUGGUUAAGUCAGAUGUGAAAGCCCCGGGCUCAACCUGGGAAUUGCAUUUGAAACUGGCCAACUAGAGUAUGUGAGAGGGGGGUAGAAUUCCAAGUGUAGCGGUGAAAUGCGUAGAGAUUUGGAGGAAUACCAGUGGCGAAGGCGGCCCCCUGGCACAAUACUGACGCUCAGGUG
This 647-nucleotide ribosomal RNA is filed under the name uncultured bacterium. Its description in RNAcentral is "bacterial SSU rRNA". It matches the Rfam family "Bacterial small subunit ribosomal RNA", at positions 110 to 753 of the family's 1533-position model. The record is from RNAcentral.